CCCUUAGAUGUUCUGGGCUGCACGCGCGCUACACUGAAGGACUCAACGUGCUUGUCUCCUUGGCCGUCAGGUCUGGGUAACCCGUUGAACCUCCUUCGUGCUAGGGAUUGGGGCUUGUAAUUAUUCCCCAUGAACGAGGAAUUCCCAGUAAGCGCGAGUCAUCAUCUCGCGUUGAUUACGUCCCUGCCCUUUGUACACACCGCCCGUCGCACCUACCGAUUGAAUGGUCCGGUGAAAUCUCGGGACGGCGGCUUGGUCGCUUGCGUCCGACUGCUGAAACUUGAUUAAACCAUAUCAUUUAGAGGAAGGUGAAGUCGUAACA
This 322-nucleotide ribosomal RNA is filed under the name uncultured eukaryote. RNAcentral's name for it is "partial 18S ribosomal RNA". It matches the Rfam family "Eukaryotic small subunit ribosomal RNA", at positions 1470 to 1796 of the family's 1831-position model. The record is from RNAcentral.